Molecule: ribosomal RNA, 460 nt
Filed under: uncultured bacterium
Lineage: Bacteria
Description: partial 16S ribosomal RNA
Rfam family: Bacterial small subunit ribosomal RNA
Source: RNAcentral
CCUACGGGUGGCAGCAGUGAGGAAUAUUGGUCAAUGGACGAGAGUCUGAACCAGCCAAGUAGCGUGAAGGAUGACUGCCCUAUGGGUUGUAAACUUCUUUUAUAUGGGACUAAAAUGUUCCACGUGUGGGAUUUUGUAUGUACCAUAUGAAUAAGGAUCGGCUAACUCCGUGCCAGCAGCCGCGGUAAUACGGAGGAUCCGAGCGUUAUCCGGAUUUAUUGGGUUUAAAGGGAGCGUAGGUGGAUUGUUAAGUCAGUUGUGAAAGUUUGCGGCUCAACCGUAAAAUUGCAGUUGAAACUGGCAGUCUUGAGUACAGUAGAGGUGGGCGGAAGUCGUGGUGUAGCGGUGAAAUGCUUAGAUAUCACGAAGAACUCCGAUUGCGAAGGCAGUUCACUGGACUGCAACUGACACUGAGGCUCGAAAGUGUGGGUAUCAAACAGGAUUAGAUACCCUUGUAGUC